Long non-coding RNA from Felis catus (domestic cat), 383 nucleotides. RefSeq lists it as uncharacterized. The record is from RefSeq and is a predicted model, not a curated record. The transcript has 3 exons. Lineage: Eukaryota; Metazoa; Chordata; Mammalia; Carnivora; Felidae.
AAACAGCCCAUUGGAGAUCCACAUGCCUGGAGAUGCGUGGAGAUGUAAGGGCUGCAGACGUGCAUCAUGGGAAAGAAUAGGUGAGGAGACCACCACUACCAGCUACCAAGACCUAUUAUAAAGGAACUUAAUUUCACGUCCAAGGGAAUCUAUAAAAGGAUUCAGAAGAUACCCCCAGAAGCUUGUCCACAGGUAAGCAUAAACCACCCCCCCCCCCAGCCAAGGAUGCAGACCACACCCUUCCCCCUAAAUGUGAGUCCUUCCAGUCCCAGGGCUCAACUGAAUAAUCCCACUUCAAGCAAAGGGCUAAAAGCAGUAUGACUAUGACCUAGGUAACACUAAGAAUUGCAACGAAUUGCUAAUAAAUGGAGAAUUAAAGCCUA